UGGGGGAAUAUUGGACAAUGGGCGAAAGCCUGAUCCAGCAAUGCCGCGUGAGUGAUGAAGGCCUUAGGGUUGUAAAGCUCUUUUACCCGGGAUGAUAAUGACAGUACCGGGAGAAUAAGCUCCGGCUAACUCCGUGCCAGCAGCCGCGGUAAUACGGAGGGAGCUAGCGUUAUUCGGAAUUACUGGGCGUAAAGCGCACGUAGGCGGCUUUGUAAGUUAGAGGUGAAAGCCUGGAGCUCAACUCCAGAAUUGCCUUUAAGACUGCAUCGCUUGAAUCCAGGAGAGGUGAGUGGAAUUCCGAGUGUAGAGGUGAAAUUCGUAGAUAUUCGGAAGAACACCAGUGGCGAAGGCGGCUCACUGGACUGGUAUUGACGCUGAGGUGCGAAGCGUGGGGAGCAAACAGGAUUAGAUACCCUGGUAGUCCACGCCGUAACGAUGAUAACUAGCUGUCGGGGCUCUUAGAGCUUCGGUGGCGCAGCUAACGCAUUAAG
Molecule: ribosomal RNA, 491 nt
Filed under: uncultured Pseudomonadota bacterium
Lineage: Bacteria; Pseudomonadati; Pseudomonadota
Description: bacterial SSU rRNA
Rfam family: Bacterial small subunit ribosomal RNA
Source: RNAcentral